AGAGUUUGAUCCUGGCUCAGGAUGAACGCUAGCGGCAGGCCUAAUACAUGCAAGUCGAACGAGACGUUUUUCUUCGGAGAAACUGAAAGUGGCGCACGGGUGCGUAACGCGUAUGCAACCUACCCUUAACAGGGGGAUAGCCCAGAGAAAUUUGGAUUAAUACCCCAUAGUAUUACAAGAUGGCAUCUGAAAGUAAUUAAAGAUUUAUCGGUUAAGGAUGGGCAUGCGUGACAUUAGAUAGUUGGUGAGGUAACGGCUCACCAAGUCAACGAUGUCUAGGGGUUCUGAGAGGAUGAUCCCCCACACUGGUACUGAGAUACGGACCAGACUCCUACGGGAGGCAGCAGUAGGGAAUAUUGGUCAAUGGGCGAGAGCCUGAACCAGCCAUGCCGCGUGCAGGAAGACAGCUUUCUGAGUUGUAAACUGCUUUUAUAUGGGAAGAAAAAGCCUUUGCGAAGGAAAUUGCCGGUACCAUAUGAAUAAGCACCGGCUAACUCCGUGCCAGCAGCCGCGGUAAUACGGAGGGUGCAAGCGUUGUCCGGAUUUAUUGGGUUUAAAGGGUCCGCAGGCGGCCUGUUAAGUCAGAGGUGAAAGCCAACAGCUCAACUGUUGAACUGCCUUUGAUACUGAUAGGCUUGAGUUAUUGUGAAGUGGUUAGAAUGUGUGGUGUAGCGGUGAAAUGCUUAGAUAUCACACAGAAUACCCAUUGCGAAGGCAGAUCACUAACAAUAUACUGACGCUCAUGGACGAAAGCGUGGGGAGCGAACGGGAUUAGAUACCCCGGUAGUCCACGCCGUAAACGAUGGAUACUAACUGUUCGAUCUUCGGAUUGAGUGGUCAAGCGAAAGUGAUAAGUAUCCCACCUGGGGAGUACGCUCGCAAGAGUGAAACUCAAAGGAAUUGACGGGACCCCGCACAAGCGGCGGAGCAUGCGGCUUAAUUCGAUGAUACCCGUAGAACCUUACCUGGACUUGACAUAUAGGGAAAAGUUAUAGAAAUAUAAUGUGCAUUAGCGCCCUAUACAGGUGGUGCAUGGCUGUCGUCAGCUCGUG
RNAcentral lists this ribosomal RNA (1052 nucleotides) under uncultured bacterium. RNAcentral's name for it is "bacterial SSU rRNA". It matches the Rfam family "Bacterial small subunit ribosomal RNA", at positions 8 to 1064 of the family's 1533-position model. The record is from RNAcentral.